RNA transcript from Tripterygium wilfordii, 3174 nucleotides. It is a transcript of the gene named ribonucleoside-diphosphate reductase large subunit-like, with no coding region annotated. The record is from RefSeq and is a predicted model, not a curated record. NCBI's taxonomy places the organism in Eukaryota, Viridiplantae, Streptophyta, Magnoliopsida, Celastrales, Celastraceae. The transcript is spliced from 18 exons.
GUGAAGCUUCUUAUGGAAGUUGGCGGGAACAUUUCGAAAUUGGCCAACUCAUGGUGGGAAACCAAAACGAAGCCCUAAAAAUUCCAAAAUUUGAAACAACUCUUCUUCCUUGUUUAUAAGCCUGCUGCGCUCUGUCAGUAGUUUUGUGACUUUUGUCUGCCUGCGAACCGUACGUGUUUGAUAAAAUUCCGGAGAGAGAGAGGGAGGUCGCUGAAGAUGUACGUGUUUAAGAGAGAUGGAAGACGAGAGUCAGUGCAUUUUGACAAGAUCACGGCGAGGCUAAAGAAAUUAAGUUAUGGACUGAGCACCGAGCACUGCGAUCCGGUGCUCGUAUCGCAGAAGGUGUGUGCGGGGGUCUACAAGGGCGUCACCACCAGCCAGCUUGAUGAAUUGGCCGCUGAGACUGCUGCUGCCAUGACCGCCAACCAUCCUGAUUAUGCCUCCUUGGCUGCCAGGAUUGUUGUUUCGAAUUUGCACAAGAACACUAUGAAAUCAUUUUCAGAAACGAUCAAAAUAAUGUACACUCAUGUCAAUGAGAGGUCUGGCCUGAAGGCUCCUCUGGUUGCUGAUGAUGUAUAUGAUAUCAUAAUGAAGAAUUCUGCUCGUUUGGACAGUGAGAUUAUCUAUGAUAGGGACUUUGAAUAUGACUAUUUUGGCUUCAAAACUCUUGAAAGGUCGUACCUGUUAAAGGUUCAGGGCAAGGUUGUAGAAAGGCCACAACACAUGCUGAUGAGAGUUGCUGUUGGAAUUCACAAGGAGGAUAUUGACUCUGUCAUCAAAACAUACCAUUUGAUGUCUCAGCGAUGGUUUACUCAUGCUUCUCCUACCCUUUUCAAUGCAGGAACACCAAGACCGCAACUGAGUAGCUGUUUCUUGGUGUGCAUGAAAGAAGAUAGUAUUGAAGGAAUAUAUGAUACUUUGAAAGAAUGUGCGGUAAUCAGUAAGUCUGCUGGAGGAAUUGGGGUAUCUGUUCAUAACAUCCGUGCAACUGGUAGUUAUAUCCGUGGAACAAAUGGAGCAUCAAAUGGCAUCGUUCCAAUGCUGAGGGUUUUCAAUGAUACUGCACGUUAUGUUGACCAAGGAGGAGGCAAGAGGAAGGGUGCUUUUGCUGUAUAUUUGGAGCCAUGGCAUGCUGACAUAUUUGAGUUUCUGGAUCUUAGGAAAAACCAUGGAAAGGAAGAACAUCGUGCUCGGGAUUUAUUCUUUGCUCUUUGGGUGCCUGAUCUUUUUAUGGAAAGGGUGCAAAGUAAUGGAGAGUGGUCAUUAUUUUACCCAAAUGAGGCUCCAGGUUUGGCAGAUUGCUGGGGUGUGGAAUUUGAAAGGCUCUACACCCAUUAUGAAAGAGAGGGAAAGGCUAAGAAGGUGGUGCAGGCACAGAACCUAUGGUUUGAAGUGCUGAAAUCCCAGAUAGAAACUGGGACGCCUUACGUGCUUUUCAAGGAUACUUGCAAUAGAAAGAGUAACCAGCAAAAUCUGGGUACAAUUAAAUCUUCAAAUCUGUGCACAGAGAUAAUUGAGUAUACAAGUCCGACAGAAACAGCUGUUUGCAAUUUGGCAUCCAUUGCUUUACCAAGAUUUGUUAGAGAGAAGGGGGUGCCAAUCGAAUCUCAUCCAUCAAAGCUUGUUGGCAGUCGAGGUUCUAUGAAUCGAUAUUUUGACUUUGACAAACUUGCUGAGAUAACUGCGGUAGCUACUACAAAUCUUAACAAGAUCAUCGAUGUUAGUUACUACCCGAUUGAGAAUGCAAGGAGGUCAAAUUUCCUGCACAGACCCAUCGGUAUUGGAGUUCAGGGUCUUGCAGAUACCUUCAUCUUACUUGGCAUGGCAUUUGAUUCGCCAGAGGCACAACAACUGAACAAGGACAUAUUUGAAACCAUAUACUAUCAUGCUCUCAAAGCUUCUGCUGAAUUAGCGGCAAAAGAAGGUGCCUAUGAAACAUAUAAUGGAAGUCCUGUGAGCAAGGGCAUUCUGCAGCCUGAUAUGUGGGGUGUGACACCUUCAGAUCGGUGGGACUGGGCUGCUCUAAGAGAGAUUAUUUCUAAUAAUGGGGUUAGAAAUUCACUUCUUGUGGCUCCAAUGCCAACUGCUUCGACUAGCCAGAUUCUUGGAAAUAAUGAGUGUUUUGAGCCUUAUACUUCUAAUAUCUACAGUCGCAGAGUGCUAAGUGGUGAAUUUGUUGUGGUGAACAAACAUCUACUUCAUGACUUGACUGAAAUGGGUCUCUGGUCUCCUGCUAUUAAAAACUCGAUAAUAUAUGAGAAUGGUUCUGUUCAGAGAAUUCCUGAAGUACCUGAUGAAUUGAAAGACAUAUACAAGACUGUUUGGGAGAUCAAGCAAAAGACAUUGGUGGAUAUGGCUGUUGAUCGUGGCUGCUACAUAGAUCAGAGUCAGAGCCUUAACAUACAUAUGGACCAACCAAAUUUUGGAAAAUUAACUUCCUUGCACUUCCAUGCGUGGUCUAAGGGCUUAAAAACUGGGAUGUAUUAUCUACGAACACGUGCUGCUGUUGAUGCCAUAAAGUUCACUGUUGAUACUUCCAUUCUUAAACAGGAAAAGAAGGCUAAGGUGGUUGAUGAUGAUGAUACCAUAAUGGCUCAGAUGGUUUGCUCCCUUACAAACCGUGACGAGUGCAUGGCUUGUGGUAGUUGAAAUAGAGUUAAAAUACAAGUGGCUUCAGAUAUGUGCUUUUAUAGAGAACCCUUCAAGUGUGAAGGCAGGCACCGAAGUGUGACCAACCAACCAUGUGGACAGGCAGAACCUUGAACGUUCUUUUUCUUUAGAAAAUCUGGUGGGCCUGGUGUGCACGAAUUCUUUAAGGGAGACGAAAAAUUGAGCAGGUAUUUUUUCCAAGUCAAAACUGAGACGACAUUGCUUGUCUUUGCCCUUUUGCAUUAUUUCCACUGCACCAAACUUUAGUUUGUGGUAUUGGAACCGGCCUAAGACGUUAUAGCUUUGUGGAUGGUCACAUCUAUACCUAGCCGAGAAGGGACCAGUUGGACCACAAUUAGUAACCCCCUAACCCAUUGGUUGCACUCAAUCCAUUCAAACAGUCUGGUUCAAUAAUAUUUGGUAAUUAAGUCUGAAUGGAGUUAUCAAUUGUAUCCUAACAAGUUAAUCAAGUGCUAUAUUGGUAAUAGAUUAUAUGAAAGUAUUAUUAAAAUUGGGGAAAUACUA